ACAUGUCUUUUAAGAUAAUAAUUAAAAGUCAAAUCUGCUCCAUGAAUUUAGUUUAAAUAGCUGCAGUAUAUUGACUGUACAAAGGUAGCAUAAUCAAUAGUUUUUUAAUUAGAAGCUGGAAUGAAAGAUUUAAUAAGGUGAAUAUUGUCUCAAAUUUAUUAAUAUUAUAAUUUUUUUUUUAGUAAAAACACUAAAAUGAAUUUAAAAGACGAGAAGACCCUAUAGAGUUUGAUAAUUUAAUUAUAAAUUAGGUAAAUUAAAUUAAUUAAUUAUAAUAAAAAUUAUUUGGUUGGGGAAAUUAUUAAAUUUAAUUAAUUUUAAUAUUUUUAAACAAUAAUUAUUGUUUUAAUGAUUUUAAAUUUUAAAAUACAAGAAUAAAUUACCUUAGGGAUAACAGCGUAAUUUUUUUGGAAAGAUCAUAUUGAUAAAAGAGUUUGCGACCUCGAUGUUGAAUUAAGAUAAAAUUUUAAUGAAGAAUUWAAAAAUUUUUAGUCUGUUCGACUAUUAAAAUCUUACGUG
RNAcentral lists this ribosomal RNA (519 nucleotides) under Joppidium fuscipenne. Its description in RNAcentral is "partial 16S large subunit ribosomal RNA". The stretch from base 390 to 519 matches the Rfam family "Archaeal large subunit ribosomal RNA", at positions 2544 to 2673 of the family's 2987-position model. The record is from RNAcentral. Lineage: Eukaryota; Metazoa; Arthropoda; Insecta; Hymenoptera; Ichneumonidae.